AUACGUAGGGGGCGAGCGUUGUCCGGAAUGAUUGGGCGUAAAGGGCGCGUAGGCGGCGCGGUAAGUCUGGAGUGAAAGUCCUGCUUUCAAGGUGGGAAUUGCUUUGGAUACUGCCGUGCUUGAGUGCAGGAGAGGUUAUCGGAAUUCCCGGUGUAGCGGUGAAAUGCGUAGAGAUCGGGAGGAACACCAGUGGCGAAGGCGGGUAACUGGACUGCAACUGACGCUGAGGCGCGAAAGUGUGGGGAGCAAACAGGAUUAGAUACCCUGGUAGUCCACACUGUAAACGAUGAAUGCUAGGUGUAAGAGGUAUCGACCCCUUUUGUGCCGGAGUCAACACAAUAAGCAUUCCGCCUGGGGAGUACGGCCGCAAGGUUGAAACUCAAAUGAAUUGACGGGG
Molecule: ribosomal RNA, 397 nt
Filed under: uncultured bacterium
Lineage: Bacteria
Description: partial 16S ribosomal RNA
Rfam family: Bacterial small subunit ribosomal RNA
Source: RNAcentral